UGGAGUUGUACAUGUCUGCACCUGCUACAUCAACUCCUGCUGGAUCACAGACUGGUAAUGUUGGACUGAAUCACGAUGUUCAACCAAGUGUUUCGUCAAGUUUUUCACAGGCUGCUACUCUGAGGGCUUAAGUAUUGUGAACUUCAGCUCAUGGUAAUUCGACAUCAUUCAUACAAGUCAAAUGACGACAUCCACACACAUUUCAAGGCAAUGUUUCCAGAUUCGUACAUGUAAAAACUUUCACCUGUGGCACAGAUAAAACGGCAUACAUAGCCAGAUUUGGUAUUGUGUUGUUUAUUAAAAGACCACUUACCACAAAAGUUAAUGAUGAAUCGUUCAUUGUUAUGUUCGACGAAAGCAUCAACAAAAAACAAACAACUAGACCUUCAGGUGAGGCACUGGACCAUGGAUGAAACGGGAACAUACAUUUGCUCCCGCUACUAUGGUUCUGUUGCUGGGCCAUUCCACAGCUGAGGAUUUAUUGGACAAAUUCAAGCAAGAUGCUUUCUGUGUCAGUGGAUGGGCCAAGUAUUAAUUGGAAAUUUGUGCAGCUACUACAGCAAGAAUACAGUGAACAGUUUGGUGGAGCUCAGAUUCAGAAUGUGGGAAGCUGUGGUCUUCAAAUUAAUCACAAUGCUAUCAAGGGUGGAUUUGGAGUGUGGCAAGUAGAGAAGCUUCUGAAGGCCCUGCACGUCCUUUCCCACUGUGCCCCUGCAAGGCGGCAAGACUUCAGUUCAGUGACUAAGUCCACAAAAUUUCCCCUACCUUUUUGUGAGCAUCGCUGGAGAAUUUGCCAGCAGUGGAAAGAGCAAUUGAAAUUUGACCAUCCAUUGUCACCUAUGUGGACCAGGUGAAAAUUAAAAACCUCCUCAACCCAGGAUCAUCCUUAUAUGACACUGUAGCAGAGGCCUGAAUGGAUCCCCUAACUGUGCCAUAUCGGCACCUCUACAUAUCCAUCUCAAUAAACUUUCAGCCGUUUCUAAAACUGAUGUUCCCAUGAUCCCCUUCCUGAGCAAAGACUUGGAAGAUCUUGUCAGGAGCCUUCUCCGAUGCUUCAUCCAGCGGGACAUCCUUUUGUUUCUGUGUCAAAGCUUGUCAGGCUUGAUGAGACAUAUCGGAGCCAAUGGGUCAGUCCAAAGGAGGUGGAUAUUGGAAUGGGAGCAACAGCUGCCUUGAAGGUGAUGUGAUUGCACAGCAGUUUGGGACAUUUCUCUUCAAUGAGGCCAGAGUAGCAAGCUUCAAGGAAUUCAUUCCCACAGAACCAAACUACAGAGUCGACAUGUUUUUGCAUCAUCUACCUCAUCACCUGAGCUGUGGGGUUUUGUUAAAAAGCUGCUGAUUCUCUCCCAUGGCCAAGCAACAGUUGAACGUGGGUUCUCAGUCAACAAAGAGGUGGUAACAUGGAUGAAGACACAAUUGUUGUCCAAAGACUUAUCUGUGACCAUGUGAGAGUGUAUGGUGCAGUGACCCAGGUACCUCUUACAAAAGAGUUACUAAACUACCGUGCAACUGCACGGACCAGGUACAGAAUACACCUAGAUGAGGAAAAAGACAAAGGAAGAAAAAUGGCUGAAGAUGAACUUUAAUUUCUAUGGAAGAAAAGAAAAACAAUCCACAGUGUAUACGGAGACUUGUUUAAUAGAUAUUUUUAAAAAGUACCAUCUG
This is a long non-coding RNA of Xyrauchen texanus (razorback sucker), 1665 nucleotides long. RefSeq lists it as uncharacterized. The record is from RefSeq and is a predicted model, not a curated record. Lineage: Eukaryota; Metazoa; Chordata; Actinopteri; Cypriniformes; Catostomidae. The transcript has 4 exons.